CAUAGCGACUAUCGUGGCAUAUCAAUAAGCGGAGGAAAAGAAACUAACAAGGAUUCCCUUAGUAACGGCGAGUGAAGCGGGAAGAGCUCAAAUUUGAAAUCUUCAAGGUUCUACCUUGACGAAUUGUAGUUUAUAGAAGUGUUUUCUGUUAGUAGGAGUGGCAAAAGAUCUUUGGAAUAGGACAUCAUAGAGGGUGAGAAUCCCGUAUUUGGUCAUUCUUCCUAGCGUUGUGAUACACUUUCAACGAGUCGGAUUGUUUGGGAAUGCAGUCCAAAAUGGGUGGUAAAUUUCAUCUAAAGCUAAAUAUUGGCGAGAGACCGAUAGCGAACAAGUACCGUGAGGGAAAGAUGAAAAGAACUUUGAAAAGAGAGUUAAACAGUACGUGAAAUUGUCAAAAGGGAAGCGUUUGACACCAGUGUUGUUUUUCCGAAAAUCAAUUACGAAUGUUUUGUUUUUGAGGAGUUAUGACUUCAUCGGCUUGCUCCUUUCUUUACGAAACUUUCUUAAUGCACUUUUCGGUUAACAAGUCAACAUCAAUUUCUUUUGUUGUAAAAGGGUAUGAGGAAGGUGGCUUUCUUUUCGGAGAAAGUGUUUAUAGCCUUGUGCCUCUGCAAUCGGAGAGAUUGAGGUCUGCAGCGUAGAUCCUUCGGGGUUAGAUACGUUUGUGCUAAGUUAUAGCUUUUCAUAGACAACUUGUUGACUAUGUUUAGUCUUGUAGCUUACUCGCUUAUGCUAUUUUACCUACGCUUAGGAUGUUGAUAUGCAUGACUGAUAU
Molecule: ribosomal RNA, 775 nt
Filed under: uncultured Neocallimastigales
Lineage: Eukaryota; Fungi; Neocallimastigomycota; Neocallimastigomycetes; Neocallimastigales
Description: partial large subunit ribosomal RNA
Rfam family: Eukaryotic large subunit ribosomal RNA
Source: RNAcentral